This 467-nucleotide ribosomal RNA is filed under the name uncultured bacterium. Its description in RNAcentral is "partial 16S ribosomal RNA". It matches the Rfam family "Bacterial small subunit ribosomal RNA", at positions 28 to 507 of the family's 1533-position model. The record is from RNAcentral.
GAUGAACGCUGGCGGCGUGCUUAACACAUGCAAGUCGAACGGAAAGGCCCAAGCUUGCUUGGGUACUCGAGUGGCGAACGGGUGCGUAACACGUGGGUGAUCUGCCCUGCACUUCGGGAUAAGCCUGGGAAACUGGGUCUAAUACCGGAUAGGACCACAUUUUGGUUGUUGUGGUGGAAAGUUUUUCGGUGUGGGAUGAGCUCGGGGCCUAUAAGCUUUUUGGUGGGGUAAUGGCCUACCAAGGCGUCGACGGGUAGCCGGCCUGUGGGGGUGUACGGCCAGGUUGGGCCGGAGAUACGGCCCAGAGUCAGACGGAGGGAAGAAGAGGGGAAGAUCGCACAAGGGGAGAAAGCCUGAUGCAGGGAGGCCGCGGGGGGGGGGACGGCCUUCGGGUUGAAAAAUCCUUACGCGGGGGAUAAAGCGUUUUUGUGACGGUACCUGGAGAAGAAGCACCGGCUAACUACGUG